RNAcentral lists this ribosomal RNA (1232 nucleotides) under metagenome. RNAcentral's name for it is "bacterial SSU rRNA". It matches the Rfam family "Bacterial small subunit ribosomal RNA", at positions 8 to 1261 of the family's 1533-position model. The record is from RNAcentral.
AGAGUUUGAUCCUGGCUCAGGACGAACGCUGGCGGCGCGCCUAACACAUGCAAGUCGAACGAGCGAGAGAGAGCUUGCUUUCUCGAGCGAGUGGCGAACGGGUGAGUAACGCGUGAGGAACCUGCCUCAAAGAGGGGGACAACAGUUGGAAACGACUGCUAAUACCGCAUAAGCCCACGGUGCCGCAUGGCACAGAGGGAAAAGGAGCAAUCCGCUUUGAGAUGGCCUCGCGUCCGAUUAGCUAGUUGGUGAGGUAACGGCCCACCAAGGCAACGAUCGGUAGCCGGACUGAGAGGUUGAACGGCCACAUUGGGACUGAGACACGGCCCAGACUCCUACGGGAGGCAGCAGUGGGGAAUAUUGCACAAUGGGGGAAACCGUGAUGCAGCGACGCCGCGUGGAGGAAGAAGGUCUUCGGAUUGUAAACUCCUGUUGUUGGGGAAGAUAAUGACGGUACCCAUCAAGGAAGUGACGGCUAACUACGUGCCAGCAGCCGCGGUAAAACGUAGGUCACAAGCGUUGUCCGGAAUUACUGGGUGUAAAGGGAGCGCAGGCGGGAAGACAAGUUGGAAGUGAAAUCUAUGGGCUCAACCCAUAAACUGCUUUCAAAACUGUUUUUCUUGAGUAGUGCAGAGGUAGGCGGAAUUCCCGGUGUAGCGGUGGAAUGCGUAGAUAUCGGGAGGAACACCAGUGGCGAAGGCGGCCUACUGGGCACCAACUGACGCUGAGGCUCGAAAGUGUGGGUAGCAAACAGGAUUAGAUACCCUGGUAGUCCACACCGUAAACGAUGAUUACUAGGUGUUGGAGGAUUGACCCCUUCAGUGCCGCAGUUAACACAAUAAGUAAUCCACCUGGGGAGUACGACCGCAAGGUUGAAACUCAAAGGAAUUGACGGGGGCCCGCGCAAGCAGUGGAGUAUGUGGUUUAAUUCGACGCAACGCGAAGAACCUUACCAAGUCUUGACAUCCCUUGACAGGCAUAGAAAUAUGUUUUCUCUUCGGAGCAAGGAGACAGGUGGUGCAUGGUUGUCGUCAGCUCGUGUCGUGAGAUGUUGGGUUAAGUCCCGCAACGAGCGCAACCCUUAUGGUCAGUUACUACGCAAGAGGACUCUGGCCAGACUGCCGUUGACAAAACGGAGGAAGGUGGGGAUGACGUCAAAUCAUCAUGCCCUUUAUGACUUGGGCUACACACGUACUACAAUGGCGUUAAACAAAGAGAAGCAAGACCGCGAG